UCAGGAAGGAGUAGAGUAGGAGGAGGAGGCACACUGGUCUUUGGUUAACUUGAUAACCAGCUAGAUUCUGAAUUCAAUGGUAGCAACCUGAGGCAGUAGCAUGGAGGUUUUUGAGGCUGUCCUAUAUUUUCCUUGUUGGUUUCCUUUUGGUUACAGGGAGACAACUGUUCCUUCCGCCACUGCGAAGCUGCUCUGGGGAACGAGACGGUGUGCACGCUGUGGCAGGAGGGUCGUUGUUUCAGGAAUGUCUGCCGAUUCAGACACAUGGAAAUUGAUAAAAAGAGCGCUGAU
Cygnus olor (mute swan) is the source of this 291-nucleotide long non-coding RNA. RefSeq lists it as uncharacterized. NCBI's taxonomy places the organism in Eukaryota, Metazoa, Chordata, Aves, Anseriformes, Anatidae. The record is from RefSeq and is a predicted model, not a curated record. The transcript is spliced from 3 exons.